RNAcentral lists this ribosomal RNA (587 nucleotides) under Trichoderma asperellum. RNAcentral's name for it is "eukaryotic LSU rRNA". The stretch from base 195 to 348 matches the Rfam family "5.8S ribosomal RNA". The record is from RNAcentral. Lineage: Eukaryota; Fungi; Ascomycota; Sordariomycetes; Hypocreales; Hypocreaceae.
GAAUGAGUCUUACCGAGUUUACACUCCCAAACCCAAUGUGAACGUUACCAAACUGUUGCCUCGGCGGGGUCACGCCCCGGGUGCGUCGCAGCCCCGGAACCAGGCGCCCGCCGGAGGAACCAACCAAACUCUUUCUGUAGUCCCCUCGCGGACGUAUUUCUUACAGCUCUGAGCAAAAAUUCAAAAUGAAUCAAAACUUUCAACAACGGAUCUCUUGGUUCUGGCAUCGAUGAAGAACGCAGCGAAAUGCGAUAAGUAAUGUGAAUUGCAGAAUUCAGUGAAUCAUCGAAUCUUUGAACGCACAUUGCGCCCGCCAGUAUUCUGGCGGGCAUGCCUGUCCGAGCGUCAUUUCAACCCUCGAACCCCUCCGGGGGAUCGGCGUUGGGGAUCGGGACCCCUCACACGGGUGCCGGCCCCGAAAUACAGUGGCGGUCUCGCCGCAGCCUCUCCUGCGCAGUAGUUUGCACAACUCGCACCGGGAGCGCGGCGCGUCCACGUCCGUAAAACACCCAACUUUCUGAAAUGUUGACCUCGGAUCAGGUAGGAAUACCCGCUGAACUUAAGCAUAUCAAAUAAAGCAGGAGGAA